UAUGUGAACGUUACCAAACUGUUGCCUCGGCGGGAUUUCUGCCCCGGGCGCGUCGCAGCCCCGGACCAAGGCGCCCGCCGGAGGACCAAUUUACAAACUCUUUUGUAUAUCCCAUCGCGGAUUCUUUACAUUCUGAGCUUUCUCGGCGCUCCUAGCGAGCGUUUCGAAAAUGAAUCAAAACUUUCAACAACGGAUCUCUUGGUUCUGGCAUCGAUGAAGAACGCAGCGAAAUGCGAUAAGUAAUGUGAAUUGCAGAAUUCAGUGAAUCAUCGAAUCUUUGAACGCACAUUGCGCCCGCCAGUAUUCUGGCGGGCAUGCCUGUCCGAGCGUCAUUUCAACCCUCGAACCCCUCCGGGGGGUCGGCGUUGGGGAUCGGCACUUACCUGCCGGCCCCGAAAUACAGUGGCGGUCUCGCCGCAGCCUCUCCUGCGCAGUAGUUUGCACACUCGCACCGGGAGCGCGGCGCGUCCACGGCCGUAAAACAACCCAAACUUCUGAAAUGUUGACCUCGGAUCAGGUAGGAAUACCCGCUGAACUUAAGCAU
RNAcentral lists this ribosomal RNA (544 nucleotides) under Trichoderma brevicompactum. RNAcentral's name for it is "eukaryotic LSU rRNA". The stretch from base 179 to 332 matches the Rfam family "5.8S ribosomal RNA". The record is from RNAcentral. Lineage: Eukaryota; Fungi; Ascomycota; Sordariomycetes; Hypocreales; Hypocreaceae.